GCGACCCCAGGUCAGGCGGGACUACCCGCUGAANUNAAGC
RNAcentral lists this ribosomal RNA (40 nucleotides) under Chascolytrum subaristatum. RNAcentral describes it as "partial 26S ribosomal RNA". Lineage: Eukaryota; Viridiplantae; Streptophyta; Magnoliopsida; Poales; Poaceae. RNAcentral also lists the same sequence under 1 other name. The record is from RNAcentral.